Molecule: ribosomal RNA, 1000 nt
Filed under: Microbacterium sp. HBUM178663
Lineage: Bacteria; Bacillati; Actinomycetota; Actinomycetes; Micrococcales; Microbacteriaceae
Description: bacterial SSU rRNA
Rfam family: Bacterial small subunit ribosomal RNA
Source: RNAcentral
AGCCCGUGGCGGGGUGCUACACAUGCAGUCGAACGAUGAAGCUGGGGCUUGCUCUGGUGGAUUAGUGGCGAACGGGUGAGUAACACGUGAGCAACCUGCCCUGGACUCUGGGAUAAGCGCUGGAAACGGCGUCUAAUACUGGAUACGAGACGUGGCCGCAUGGUCAACGUUUGGAAAGAUUUUUCGGUCUGGGAUGGGCUCGCGGCCUAUCAGCUUGUUGGUGAGGUAAUGGCUCACCAAGGCGUCGACGGGUAGCCGGCCUGAGAGGGUGACCGGCCACACUGGGACUGAGACACGGCCCAGACUCCUACGGGAGGCAGCAGUGGGGAAUAUUGCACAAUGGGCGGAAGCCUGAUGCAGCAACGCCGCGUGAGGGAUGACGGCCUUCGGGUUGUAAACCUCUUUUAGCAGGGAAGAAGCGUGAGUGACGGUACCUGCAGAAAAAGCGCCGGCUAACUACGUGCCAGCAGCCGCGGUAAUACGUAGGGCGCAAGCGUUAUCCGGAAUUAUUGGGCGUAAAGAGCUCGUAGGCGGUUUGUCGCGUCUGCUGUGAAAUCCCGAGGCUCAACCUCGGGCCUGCAGUGGGUACGGGCAGACUAGAGUGCGGUAGGGGAGAUUGGAAUUCCUGGUGUAGCGGUGGAAUGCGCAGAUAUCAGGAGGAACACCGAUGGCGAAGGCAGAUCUCUGGGCCGUAACUGACGCUGAGGAGCGAAAGGGUGGGGAGCAAACAGGCUUAGAUACCCUGGUAGUCCACCCCGUAAACGUUGGGAACUAGUUGUGGGGUCCUUUCCACGGAUUCCGUGACGCAGCUAACGCAUUAAGUUCCCCGCCUGGGGAGUACGGCCGCAAGGCUAAAACUCAAAGGAAUUGACGGGGACCCGCACAAGCGGCGGAGCAUGCGGAUUAAUUCGAUGCAACGCGAAGAACCUUACCAAGGCUUGACAUACACGAGAACGGGCCAGAAAUGGUCAACUCUUUGGACACUCGUGAACAGGUGGUG